GAUGAACGCUGGCGGCGUGCCUAAUACAUGCAAGUCGAGCGAACAGACGAGGAGCUUGCUCCUCUGACGUUAGCGGCGGACGGGUGAGUAACACGUGGAUAACCUACCUAUAAGACUGGGAUAACUUCGGGAAACCGGAGCUAAUACCGGAUAAUAUAUUGAACCGCAUGGUUCAAUAGUGAAAGACGGUUUUGCUGUCACUUAUAGAUGGAUCCGCGCCGCAUUAGCUAGUUGGUAAGGUAACGGCUUACCAAGGCAACGAUGCGUAGCCGACCUGAGAGGGUGAUCGGCCACACUGGAACUGAGACGCGGUCCAGACUCCUACGGGAGGCAGCAGUAGGGAAUCUUCCGCAAUGGGCGAAAGCCUGACGGAGCAACGCCGCGUGAGUGAUGAAGGCCUUCGGAUCGUAAAACUCUGUUAUUAGGGAAGAACAAAUGUGUAAGUAACUAUGCACGUCUUGACGGUACCUAAUCAGAAAGCCACGGCUAACUACGUG
This 497-nucleotide ribosomal RNA is filed under the name uncultured bacterium. RNAcentral's name for it is "partial 16S ribosomal RNA". It matches the Rfam family "Bacterial small subunit ribosomal RNA", at positions 28 to 507 of the family's 1533-position model. The record is from RNAcentral.